Molecule: ribosomal RNA, 222 nt
Filed under: Biatriospora carollii
Lineage: Eukaryota; Fungi; Ascomycota; Dothideomycetes; Pleosporales; Biatriosporaceae
Description: partial 28S ribosomal RNA
Rfam family: Eukaryotic large subunit ribosomal RNA
Source: RNAcentral
CGAGUGAAGCGGCAACAGCUCAAAUUUGAAAUCUGGCCCUUUCAGGGUCCGAGUUGUAAUUUGUAGAGGGUGCUUUGGUGUUGGCUGCGGUCUAAGUUCCUUGGAACAGGACGUCACAGAGGGUGAGAAUCCCGUACGUGGUCGACAGUCUCCACCGUGUAAAGCCCCUUCGACGAGUCGAGUUGUUUGGGAAUGCAGCUCUAAAUGGGAGGUAAAUUUCUU